This is an RNA transcript of Cercocebus atys (sooty mangabey), 3832 nucleotides long. It is a transcript of the gene named testis-specific serine/threonine-protein kinase 5-like, with no coding region annotated. NCBI's taxonomy places the organism in Eukaryota, Metazoa, Chordata, Mammalia, Primates, Cercopithecidae. The record is from RefSeq and is a predicted model, not a curated record. The transcript is spliced from 3 exons.
UAUGUUACCCAGGCUGGUCUGAAACUCCUGGACUCAAGAGAUCCUCCUGCCUUGGUCACCCAAAGUGCUGGGAUUACAGGCAUGAGGCACUACACCCAGAUCUUGUCCUUAUUUCCUGUAUCCCAGGCAAUUUGCCAAACAAGGGAUGAGGGUGAGCAAAGGAAUAUCAAACACAUGCCUUGCUCUGAAAAGCUCAUGGUCCAAAAGGGAUGAAAAAGUGUGUUUUUCCAGUUCAAGCCAGCCCGUUCCAGGGCCUUUUCUGCAGCAAACAUGCCACGUGCACCCACAGAUCUCGGUAGAGGAGACUCCAAUUCCCCAGACUCACUGGCCUGUACCAAGCACUGGCCCCUUGCAGACAUUCCCAGGAUGGCUGCCCUCUAGGCUCACAGCCACUGUGCUGUCCAGCUUACAGCAGAGAUGACACAUUUGGGUUGGGCUUCCCCACCAUGGGGCCUUAAUUUCAUCAUUUGUAAAGCGAGGAUUGCUUGGUUGUGUUAGGACUUGAGAUCCUGGAUGUGAACUGCCCCCACGGGCCGGGCACCUGAAUGUGUUCUGUGAAUGGGGGCAGGACUGCUACAGGUGGUAGCUGUAGCUGGUGUGACUGCCCAGAAUGGCACCCAGCACACAGCUGGCACUCAAACGUUAGCAGCAAUAGUGCCCACAGCGCACUCUGGGGUCCAGAAGGGAGGGGCAAAGUUGGCUUCUGUCUCUUGGAGCUGUAGGAUCAGAGGUGGGCUCAGGCGUGGGGUCCUUGCUUGCCCUAGGGUGUGUGGUCAAGUCUGCAGAGGUCUCUAGGUGGGAGGCUUCCUGCACCCUGCUUCAGGCUCCAGUGGAGAAGGCUGGGAGACAGACAGGGCUCCAACCACCAUUUCAACUGCACGCCUUCCUCUGGCUCAGCCCACCUUAGGGCCCAGCUGAAUGUGGCCGUGGUAUCCUCUCGAAGGAGGAAGGGGUGCAGUUGAAAUGGUGGUUGGCACGUAUGUGUCCCUUUUCCUGUCUUUAUGCCCCAGAAAUCCCCACCCUCAUUUCUUUAAUGGCUUUCUGUGGCCAGCCACAUCAAGAGGGGUCCACAGAGGCCUCACCCUGGCUAUAGCUCUUGAAUUGGGUUUUCACCUCACAGAGAGUGGGCCCCAUGUGGGCAGGACUGGUCCCACAAGAUUUCCUCAGAGCAGGCAGGUCCCCAAAACGAGAAGACGUAUGCUUCAAGGGCACAAUGCAGGUACAGCUCUAGAAUUCUCCAUUCUAGAACCUGCCCCUCCUCUCCCCAAGCUAGCCCUCCCCCUGCCCAGUCCAGGGCUGUGCCAGCCCCCGCCCUGAGCUCACAGCCCCAUCACUCCCUGCCUCUGCCGCAGUCCCAGCAAGUCUUCAGAAGCGUGGCUGCUGCCUCAAGAAGGACGCAGUUCCCACCCAGCGCCCCCCACCUCCCUGGCCCCUGCCCUCUGACACAAGUCAGGCCUCAGUCGUGCCCCCCAAGACUGGUGAAACUGGACCACUACACCCCCUCCCAUGCACUGCCCUCCGUGAAGGGCAGCAGCAGGCAGAAGCUGGAUCAGAGAACCUUCACAGAGCAGAUACAUGAGGGCAAGGACAAUGGCUACCUGUUCCCCAAAGUGUACUUGGCUGAUGCCACCCACGAGUGCAUGCACCACAACCCCAAGCUGUCCUCCAAUCUGCAGGGCAAGCGCCACACCAUGGUAAGGCAGGCUUACCUCCCUCCCCAAGGGGCUCCAGUGCCCCCCAGCCUGGCCAGCAGGCCCCUCUGUGUCCCAAACCCACUCAGGCACCAUCCAGCUGCUCCAGCUUCCUCCGUCUGAGACUCUCCCCAGUCCCAUUUCCUCCCCAGAGGCCUCUCUGGGGCUCCUGCAGGCUGACCAUCCCCUGUUCCCAAACCCCUUGAACACAGAGUACUUGGCACAGGAGGGAGUGGGGAGGUCAUCGCUGCCCUCCAAGGGCACUGCUCACCCAGCGUCCCCCCCUGAGGAUUCCAGCAAAGUGUAUAAAGGACAGGGGCCUGCCUUACCACAGCCAGCCCCUCAGGGGCCAAGUCUCACACAGCAAGUGCCAUCCACCCUACAGAUAGCUGUCACGAUCGUCUCCACAACCGAGGCCCCGGUGGAGUUUUCCCGCGAGCUCCUGCCCCGUGAGAUCUCUAGCACUCAACACUACCUACAAGCACCUGAACGUGGUGGGCAGAGGCCUGGACACAGCCUGUCCCCACCCUCCCCUUCCCCAAGGGUAGCUCUCCCCAGCCAGCUGCCUGCCCCAGGCCUAUUGCCCCCUCCCCCCACCUUGGACCUCCCUUUCGCCCCAGGGCUGGAGCCCAACCCCAUCCUGGAACCUGGAUCUGGUACCCUUGACAGUUCCAGCACACCCUUGGCCCUGCCUCAGGGUGAUGGCAGGUGUGUGGGCUGCAGGUGCAGCUGUAUGAGACCUAUCAGAGCAGCCAGCUUGUGCCGGAGCUGGUGGCCCAGGGCGACCUGCUGGAGCACAUCAACGCUGCGUUGGACCACCUCUGCCACCCAGGGCUGGAGGAGAAGGAAGUCCUUGGACUGUUCUGGCAGCUGGGACCUGAAGGGCGAGAACAUCCUGCUGGAUGACCAUGGCCUUCUCAAGCUGACCGAUUUUGACUUUGCCGACUGCAUGGGGCCCAGGAACUCACUGCUCAGCACUUUCUGUGACUCCUCAGUCUACACAGCCCGAGAUCCUCGUGAGCAGCAAGUAUAGCAGGGAGCAGGCCAACCUGUGGAGCCUGUGAGUGCCUCCCAGGGAGCCCUGACCCCAGGCAAUGGGGCAACCUGUGGAGUCUGAGUGCCCCCAGGGCACCCCAACCCUGUGGCCAGGGCCCACAGGAGGGCUGGGGAGAGGCCACACCUGUAGGAGCUCAUGUCCCCAGAGGUGUCAUCCUCUAUGCCAUGGUGAGUAAGAAGCUGCCCUUCAAGGAGCCCCAGCCCCACUGCAUGCUGUACCUCAUGCACUGCAGUCCCACCUUCUGGCCAGGUCUGUUCCCAGGUAAGCACCACCCCAUGACUUCCCCACACCUAGCUCAGGCCUAGAGAGCGGCAGUGAGGAAGACGUGGACUCCCAGGAGGGUAGUCCUGCGUGGUGGAAGAGACCGAACCUGGCAUCCUCCCCGCUUAGGCUGGGAAGCAUUUGGUCCGUGCACGGCAGUGACAAGUUCUGGGGAAGCUGGAUUGGUGGAGGACCUGACUCCAAAUGCAGUUCAGGAAAGGCUGUGGCUGCGAACCUGAGCUCUGCACUAGCCCAGGGCACACUGCCUUGCCCCUCUAUGCCUCAGUCUCCCCACUGGCGACAGAACUGACCCCUCUAAGCUGCUGGCACCAUUGGCAGUGACGUGCAUGGGGUGAAGGUGGGUGCUGGAGUGGUGAGAGGCUGCAGCUGUGAGCCCUCGCCCACAGUGCCAGGACCUGAUUUGGGGGCUGCUGCAGCUGCGUCCAAACACAUGCCUGGGCCUGCAGCAAACACGCUCUUCCUCAGUGCUGUGCCAGGUGUGGUGUGGCCCUCUGGGUGAGCAACUGAGCAGCACGUGGUCCCUCUGCACUCCACCUGACCCCACUGUGGUCCCUUGCAGAGAAGCAGGUGCAGUCCCAAUUCCCAGCAUCCAUGGAUGACCUGGAGCCUGGUACAGACUUAGAGCGCCAAUGGCCAGUGCUGUAGCUGCAUUGCCCCCAUCAGCAGGGCAUCUCCAAGGAGAACGCGGGCCCUGAGCUCAGGCCUCCGGAAGCACACCCCAGAAGAGGGGUGGGUUCUGCCCAGCUGGUGCUCUGGAGCACUGUGGCAGCCAGCCUAGGAGUGAGCGCCUCCAGCAGGCGUU